This is a long non-coding RNA of Ruditapes philippinarum (Manila clam), 1197 nucleotides long. RefSeq lists it as uncharacterized. NCBI's taxonomy places the organism in Eukaryota, Metazoa, Mollusca, Bivalvia, Venerida, Veneridae. The transcript is spliced from 3 exons. The record is from RefSeq and is a predicted model, not a curated record.
CCCACGCAUACUUUUAUUGUUGAUAACUCCCACGCAAUAUUUUAUGUGCAGGCAAUAUCUAUGCAGGUUAUAGCCUAGAUAUUGAUUGAACAAAAUCAUGAUUGAUGCAUUUAGCCUUAAACGUUCAAAGAAUUUUGAAUAAUAUUAAAAAUACCGCCAAAAGGUCCUGGAUAGAAUAAAGCCCCUAUGGAUAGCAGAAUACAUACUCACGUGAAUAUAUUAAAUGAAGUUUCGAUAUAGAUGAAUUAAUCGCAGAAAUUAAAAUAAAAGUCUCAAAUAUAAGAAGGAGGUCGAUUUCAGUAUAAGCACAAUUACAGUUGUCAUUUUUCAUAGUUUGCAGAUAUGGGCGGUUCCAGUUCGGGUAUUGUUUGUGGAUAAUGUUGGGCAACAUUUGUCUUAAUGACCACAUAAACUGGCUACUCGGCACAGGACUUUGUAAAUGUUGUGACAAAUCGAAACGUGACAGAUCCUGGUCCUGGCUGAAAUUUAAAGUAUUACAGCUGUAGCUUCUAUACCAUAAAUUUAACAUGGAAAGGACUGUUCUUGGGAAAAUGCUGACGUAACUGAUGGGAGCAGUUUUUCUUACCAAUCAUAGAAGCAGUAGAAGUAUUCAAACACCAUCAUGACACACUUUAGACAUACCAAGAGAGCUCUAGAAGAAGAACUAGUGGUAGAUUGGAACAGAUUGUAGCUUAAUUGUUAAACUAAAAGGACUUCUUAAAUCGUUUGAAUUUUAGCUACACUUGAACUGUAGUUUUGAAAUAAAAUAGCUGAAGUAUUUAAUAGUGUCUUGAUUUUUUUGUUAAACUCUGUUACGUACAGUACUUUGCUUUAUAUUUAUAUUAAAGUAUGUUGAAAUGACAUUGAAACUUCAACGUUGUGCCAACGUUGAACUUCAACGUUUUUUAAACUUUCAAAUUCGAACAUAAAUCUAACGUUAUUUCAACGUUGAAAUCUGAUCAUACUUCAACGUUGUUCACCGUUGAUGUGCCUGCUGGGUUACUUCUAUCAAGGACCUAUUUGCGGUAUUUUUAAUAUUAUUCAAAAUUCUAUGAAAGUUUGAUGCUAAAUGCAUCAAUCAUGAUUUUUUUCAAUCAAUAUCUAGGCUAUAACCUGCAUAGAUAUUGCCUGCACAUAAAAUAUUGUGUGGGAGUUAUCAACAAUAAAAGUAUGCGUGGGAGUUACCAAAAUUAUUUU